RNAcentral lists this ribosomal RNA (254 nucleotides) under uncultured bacterium. Its description in RNAcentral is "partial 16S ribosomal RNA". It matches the Rfam family "Bacterial small subunit ribosomal RNA", at positions 524 to 776 of the family's 1533-position model. The record is from RNAcentral.
UACGAAGGGGGGCUAGCGUUGUUCGGAAUCACUGGGCGUAAAGCGCACGUAGGCGGAUCUUUAAGUCAGGGGUGAAAUCCCGAGGCUCAACCUCGGAACUGCCUUUGAUACUGAGAGUCUCGAGUCCGGGAGAGGUGAGUGGAACUGCGAGUGUAGAGGUGAAAUUCGUAGAUAUUCGCAAGAACACCAGUGGCGAAGGCGGCUCACUGGCCCGGUACUGACGCUGAGGUGCGAAAGCGUGGGGAGCAAACAGG